Non-coding RNA from Penaeus vannamei (Pacific white shrimp), 2649 nucleotides. Lineage: Eukaryota; Metazoa; Arthropoda; Malacostraca; Decapoda; Penaeidae. The record is from RefSeq and is a predicted model, not a curated record.
UUCAUUUUCGUCAGGUCUGACAUCGACGUUCCUUCACAUACAUCCUAAAGGAGCUAGUGUUGACUAUAUCUGGUCAUUUAUUCAACAAUUUGAUAAGGAAAUCCGUCCAUCUGACAUAGAAACAAUGUUAAACCAGUAUCCAACGGUCUUCAAGCAAAUCACAACUGGGGUUGGUGCUUGUCUCGAACGCAAGUGGAUCUUCACGGGCUUCGAAUGCUCCAUGUGAAGCUUUUUUUCUUUUUCUUUCUUUAAUGACUAUAAAUCUUCCUUCAAAGAAUUUAUUUGAAUUUUUUUUUUUUUUUUUUUUUUAUUAUGAAUUUUGUUAUAUCUGCCAUUUUUCCUCUCAGUUUUAAGCAUUUUUGUGUAAUUUAGUAUUGUUUUGUAAUGUUAAACAAUUGAGAUUUUUAUCAGCCAAAAUAAUACAUCCAUUAUAUAAUAGGACCAAUUAUUUUUGCUACAUCUUAUGAUUUCUUUCACUUUGUGUCUGUUAACCCAUUUGCUGGAACAUUCUAUUUUUACCAUAUGUUUUUUUUUUUUCUGUUUCUAAAUUUAUUUUCCAAGAGUGUGUAUGUGGCAAAGGAUAAAGGACAAGGAGGUGUUUGGUGGCAGUGAAUAAUCAUUUUGUCCAAUGUUCUUCUAUUUUGAUUUUUGUGAGAAAAAAAUAUUGAUGGGGGGGAUAAGUGACGCUAGUUUUCUUCUGAUGUUGUUUUUUAUUAUUUUUAUUCAGAGUUGUGAUUUUAAAGGUUGCUUUCAUGUGGGGGAUAGGGGGGAGGGAAAUGUGAAAGGAAUAACCACUAAAAUGUGCCAAGCAUACUUGCCCCUGGCAGCAAGUGGGUUAUGAGAGAGUAAUUUCCUAGUCUAAUGUUAUAUUUGAUAUAUGAUAAAGAGGCCUGCUUAAUUUAUCACACAUUUGAUAAUUAACAAGGGUCAGGUAUAUAAUACAGUAAUGCCUUUUUGUUAUGCCAUAAACCCUAAUUUUGCUUCUGUUGAUAUUUGAUACAGAAAAUUGACGAGAUGCUUUUAGCUGGAGAUUUGAAUAAGUAUAAUUAUAAAACCAAAAGGAUUUAGGAAAAAAUUGUAAUAUGUAAUGGAGAUUCCACUCAACUGUUUAUCUCAGUGUGGUAUAUUCAAAAUAGAACAUAGUUUCCCCCAAAAAUGGCAUUAUAAAAAGGCUUUAUUGUAGCAAUGAAAUUAUUGUAUGAUGUACAGUUAAUUGUUAUAGAUUUUUAUUAAGAAACUUUUAUAUAUAGUCUCUUUCUAGUGGCACAGAUUUCAAGCCAAACCACUAUAUGGGCUGAAAAUUGAAAUAGUCCAAUCUUUGGAUGGAUUAAAGAUUUCUCAUUAGCUGUAUGCCUUUAGCAUUUCAAUGUUAUUUGUUUCACACAGUAGCAAUAUCAAUAAUGUCUAAGAUUCACUCAUAAUUGACUGAUUAAUUGCACAGUCUGUUGCCAUCAGAGUUCGUUUAAUGCUGCAUUAUCUUUAAAAGCUCUCUUACAACAAUAGUAAAUAUUUGCAAAUCACUUUUUCCUUUUUUAAUAUUAUUCUGCAUUUUUCCCAGUAUUUCUGUUACUGAUUGAAAUUCUUGUAAAUGGGUUGUAAUAUAUGUUAUAUAUAUUUUAUUUGUUAAGUGCAAGGUUUAUUGACCUAUCUUGCAUUUCUCUGUCUAAACAAAAACUUUUGUAGUAAAACAUUUUUCUCUGGACUGGAAGAAAAGAAUUACAGCAAUGUAUGAAUUUAUUUAGCCCUUCUUCGUUCAACAAGUUUGCCACAUCGUACAUACAAGAUAAUUUUGUUAUAGAAUCUGGAAAAUCUUCUCUUUCAUUAGGGUCAGUUAUACAUUAGGUUGGGACAUUUAUAAAAUAUACACUGCAAUGAUUUUGUAUCUACCUAUAUAAAAUGUGGAUAUAAUAGACUUCCUUCAGUAUAUUGCAGUGAACAUUAUCACAUGUGAAAUGACUUGAGCCUCCAAAAUCCUGAUGUAAAGAGCCGAGGCAUCUCAUUUCUUACUUCAGUUCAAGCAUUCUGAGUUGCAUUGUUUUUUCAGAUUACAUUGUAAAAGAUACAAUUCACUUAUGCUUUCUCUGCCGUAUUUCUUAUCUGUGUGCAUGAAUUGAGGUGCACUUCAAAAUACUUGAUACAGUUUUAUGUCAUAUCUAAAUCUGCAGCCUUAUACUCUAUACAAGGAGAUAGCUGGAGAAUUGUCCAUAUUAUUCAGCUUUUCAUUAGACCAAGGGCAAGCCAAUGAUAUACAUGCAUAUAUAUAAAUUUCAAUGAUUAAACAUAUAUAUAGAUAGAUAUAUAUAAUUUGUGUAUGUGUGCAUGUGUGAAAUUCUCCAACAUAUCCAAAAAUACAUAACAUUGUGUUUAUACCAUUGAACUGCAACUGCCUUAUAAGAUAUUGAUAUGGUAUCCAGGAUCUAAGGAAAGGGAAUGCAAAAUGAUAGUAAUACUGAAGAUGAAGCUUUUAACUUCUGCAAUUAUAUGAAAAGCUUUAAAUUUGACCCAGCUUUACAACAGCAAGUCUGUACAGAAUGGCUAGUUUUUUUUUUACCAUACGUGAUUACUAUUGAGCUUUCCAUACUCUACAGAGGGAAAAAUUGAUAAUGUUUGAACAUACAAGAUUGCUAUGCCCUGAAGUUCUUCAAUGUU